UGGAUGAAGGCAGUGACCAAGAUGCCUAUGCUGGAAAACGUGUUAAUGGCAAAAGUCAAAAAAAAAGCCGGGCGAAGCCAAACUUGAAGAUGCCUCCUGCAAAAGUAACGCAACGCAAAAGCUCAACUCCAUCUCCUGCCACCUUGAAUGUAGUGAGAAAGCAACAAUGGACUCCUAAAGAAGAAGUUUACGAGGAAGAAGAUAGUGAAGAAACUGAGGAAGAUCGUGACAAUGUUGAGGAUGGAUUUAGGUACGGGGAAAAUAAUGAAGAUGAUGAUGAGGAGACUGAGUACGAAGACUGAAGCAUAUAAAAAUGUUUCCUUCACCCUUCUGGUAAGGGCACCUUGUAUGUAUCUAACCCUUACAAACAGGUUCUCUGUCAUCUUUUAUCUGCUUGCUUUCAGCAUCUUUUUUUCUCUCAUUGCAGCAUAUAAAUAAAUUUAAAAAUUUUUAAUUUUAAAAUAUUGGUGAUUCGCUAAAGAAUUUCAUACGACGAAUUUGUGAUUUUUUCAUCUUGGGAUAAACACAAAGCUGAUGCAAUCAACUCAUCAUGCCAAAAUUUAUGCACCUGAGCCGCAUAAGAUACUUGACUGGUAAGCUUGACAAAAUUUCAAUCGUUAUAUCAUCAGAACAUAAAUGAUUUGAAAGAGAGGGGAGACCACAACAUGAAUAAGUUAAUUAGUUAGUGUCAUAAAGAGGGAUUUGGAUUCAUUAAUUGUUGACUUUUGUGCUGGCUCUAACAAAGCUUUGAUCAUAAAUUGGCAAUCCAUUUGGAAAUAAUUUUCAACCCCCAAUCUAUAGCCCAUCAAUCACCCACUUGUAAUUUCCCAGGCAUGUAGAGCGUAAACCAUUUUACGAGGCAAUGCAUGUAGAACUUAAAAGGGAUAGAAAUUUCACCCACUACACACUAAUCCUUGAUCCCAAAUCUACUUGUAUUAAUGUUUAUAAUUAAUUUCUUCUAUUUAAUACUAGUUAAUAAGGCUACAUAGGUAAGUGCAAUAAGGUUUCGUGCAUUGGAACCCAUGGUUAUCGACCUGAAUCCAUUAGUAUGGAUCAUUUUCUUUUCCAAUUGAAAUCCAUUAGUAUAUGGAAGAGUGAAAAAGUACUUUCGUUGUUUUGGAAUAAGAAGUCUUCGUAUCUUAAUGCAUGUAUUUAAUGUAUUCGGGACUAUUAGAACUUAUUACUCAAACUUAAGUUAUUGUAAUUGCAAUAAAUAUUCAUGGCUGGUUGAGCUACACACAAGAGGCUCUUUAUCCUCUCAUUAUAUUGUCACUAGACUCUCUUUGUAAAUAAAAACAUCAUCCGGAUCGGUAAUUUAGAGAUCCCUAAUUUCUUAUGUAUGAAUUCAACAUAUAUAGAUUCUUAAAUAAAUGCGCCAUUCUUCCACAAUCCCUAAUGUCUAGGAAUACUGAAGAAAGGUCCAAUACUAAAUAGCGAUCCACUUGACGAUCAUAUAUUUCUCCAACUAUUUCUUCUGAAUGUGUACACUUGAUCAUUCGACAGCUUACCGUACUUUGUUUUUUCUCAUCCCACGAGUCUUGUACCAAUAAUCAACUUAAAAGUCAUUGUAUAAUAUGCAAAAUAAACCAUCAUAUUAGUCCACGAAAUUGUCAAAACGUCUUAUAAUUUGGCUUUCAAUAUCUUCAUAUGAUAAAUUAACUUGUAAGCGUUUCAUCCUGGAAUAAAUACGAAGCUGAUGCAAUAAUUUCCUUACCAAAUUCCACAGAAUCAACGAAUGCAUUAAUAAAAAGACGAGUUUCAGCAUUGUUGUUCUGGAGAUGUGAGAUUCGAAUCCCCGCACAUGAGUAGCCUGGGAAUUGGAUUGCCGUUACCUAAAUUAACCCAAAAAAAAAGCUUAAUUUAUUCUUAUUUGAAUUCUUUUUCUAUCAAUUUAAAUCACAUAAGUAGAUAUUUUGACCGAGUGUUUUUCAAUUAAUAUGAUUUGGUUGGCUAUUCGAGUUCGAUUAUAGGAGAGGUAAGGAGCUAAAAUUUUAAUUUGAACUCAGCUACCCCUCUAUCUUUUUAAAAAUACAAAAAUAAAUUUAACAAUCGUUUAAAUUUACAUAAUUUAAUUAUCUUUUGUUUCUUUGCCGUAUCAGCUGCUUAAGCAAGCAUAAGUGCAGGUGGUCAACAGUGAACAGUAACACGGUUUGCACACGGCGAAUAGUAACAUGGUUUGAACAGUAACGGUUUGAAUAGUAAUGUGGUUUGAACAAUAACGUGGUUUAAACAGUAACACAAUUUGAACAAUGUUAUACGUUUGGUUAUAAAUAGCGAGGAGAGGUUAGAGCUUGAAUCAUCCCAAUUUUGAGAGCAAUUGCAAGUGAAACAAUUUGAGAGUUUUGAGAGAGUUUUUACUUGAGUGUUAGGAAGAUUCAAUUAGGUGUAUUGGGGUUGUGGGUAUUGACAAUUUUUUCCCACUUUCGUAAAAUUCUAUUAUUAGUCAAAUUAUCUUCCGGUCUUUAUCCGUGGACAUAGGGAUUACACCGAACCACGUAAAUUAUUGUGUCAUUUUCUUUGCAUUUGUUUACAUAAUAUUUAUAUUUCUCUAGAAAUUACAGUUUCCGUAAUAUUGGUAAUUGCUCAACCCUGCACUUCUGCAACAAGUCAAACAUUCCUAGAAAUAAAAUAUUAAAUUAAAUUGAGGGAAAAAAUAAUUUACAGUGAUUUAUUCUUGUUAUUUCAUCAUCCAUCCAACUGUGGACAACUCAAGGACUCGGCAACAAAGUUGUUGUAUUACCUACGGUCUACCCAAGAAGAAAGCCCUCGUUUAGCGCUGCAAAACAAAAAUUCUGUAUUUUAAGAAAAGGUGAAAAAACAGAUGGUAAGUGGAUAAUUUUUUUUUAAUUAAUUAAAAUUUUUUAAAAACAUUGACGCAUUAAAUUAUGCCACUUGUCAAUAUUUUAAAGCAUGAAACUUUUGCUAAAAGUAAUGUACCAUGUAUCAUAAUAUAAUACCUUUUAUUUACAUCGAAACAGACCAUAAACACUAAGAGAAUGUAGGAAUGGUAGGAAAGCACGAGCUUAUGGACUGAGUACAAAUUAAAAAGUUUAAAUUAUUAAAGGACAAAUUAAUUUUCAACAUUUUAAAAACUGAUAACAAAUUAACAUCCGAACGACCCAACACAUUGCUACAGAGCCCAAAUAAUUUUUCUACGGCACCUAGACAGUGAACUCGGCCUAGCAAUGCACGAAACAAAAUUUGUAGCUUGAACAUCAACACAGAGUGUCACCUCCAUUAGGAGAGAACGGUUCAAGCAUUUAAAAAGUGGCGUAGUGCCGUAUCUGGGGUUUAUCGCUCGAGUAUAUUUCCGUGGAUUGAGUUUGUCUCCAUCUGGAUUUAUGCCUGCAUCUCGAAAUGCGGCCUCCAAGUUCGCAGCUUUAACCAGUGUGAUAGCAGUUCGAAAAUAUUCCUCGGGCGGCAGGUUAGGCUGGCCUCUGCCGUGAUGCUUCCACUCCCUCUUCCAAAACUGUUCAUUUUCAUUUCGGGUAAGACUUGGCCAGAACUUGUUCAUCUCGGCAGCAAAAGAUUUAUUGCUUUCUAGCUACAAAGAAAGAGUAAAAAUUAAUUAAUAAAUGACCGUAGAAUAAUGUAUAGGAAAAACUAUAUAUAUAGCCCAUGGGAGUGAAGCAGGUACCAUGGCUGGUACAUUAAUAGUUUGAUUAUUGGUAUUUGUCGAGGACCUGCCGGAAGAAUUUACUGGCCAGAGGCCGUGUAGGACGAAUUUUGAUGGCUUUAUUCUGCAGGGCUCUGGCCUAUGAACCUGGCAGUACACAGGUGGCCACGUCUGGACUAGAAAAUAUUGACGAAAAUCUUGUGCACCACCGGAGGCGAAUGCGAUGCAGGAAACAGAGAAAACAAAGAAGAUGAACGAGAAACUUCUCUUCAUUUUGAUUAACAUUAAUUUGACAAUACUAAAAUGCAUGAGAGUAUAACUGACACAUAAAUAGAUAAUAUUAAGCAGUGGUAUGAUAAAAGGAAGAUGGGUGCAUGUACAAACUAAUUAAUGUCAUCAUAAAUAAUUUUAAUAAGGACCAUCCCCCCCUGCUUAAUUUGUUUUCUUUUUGUUUUGGGAUAAAUUGGUAAUUUUCACUUCAUUCCUUGACAGCUGUUGACCUAUUUUUUUUUCCCUCCCUAAACAAACUAAUUCCAUUGUAAAAACUGAAUCCUAAAAAUCAUCUGAAACACACAACUCCAAUUAUCAUUCGGACCAUAGAAUUUUCUCUUAUUUUGAGCAUCUCUUCCCAUAAUUAACUUGUGGUUCCCCUCUAUCGCAUUCUUCUAUUAUAAAGCAUUUUAGAUGUUACAUUAUAGAAUCAAAAUUACUGAUUAUAUUUACAAUCAGGAAGAGAUAAUAAUGUUGACAACCAAUAUCAAUUCUUUUCCCGAAGAUAUAACGAUUGAAAUUCUGUCAAGAUUGCCAGCUAAAUUUGUUUUGCGAUUCAGGUGCGUUUGCAAGUCCUGGCUUGAGUUAACUAAGAAACCUUCUUUCAUUUCCAAGCAUUUCCAAAACAAUAGUACAAGAACUCGUCUUUUCGUUGAUGCAUCUGUUACUUCUGCGGUAGUUGGUAUGGGAAUCGUUACAUCAGCUUUGUACUUAUUCCAUGAUGAAAAACUUGCAAAUUUAUCAUAUGAAGACAUUAAACCCCAAAUUCAUGAUAAAUUUGUGGGCUAUCAUGAUGGUUUAUUUUGCAUAAUGCAGAGUUCAACGAAUCGUCUAACUAUAUGGAAUCCAGCAACAAGAGAAUUUAGAAACCUUCCAAAUUAUAAAUAUUGUAAUUCUUCCAACCGUUUAAUACCUCCUAGUACUUUCAUCUGUCUUGAAUCUGAUCCCAUAAAUAAUGACUUUAAAUUGCUUUUCGUACACAACUUAUGGAAUGAGAAAAGGAAAAGGUAUGGUAAGGUGCCUAAUGUUCAAGUGUACGGAUUCAGAACAAAUAGUUGGAGAGAAGUACAUGGUCAUCAAUUGGAUCGUUAUUUUGUAUUAAACGGAGGUCAAUUUGGUACGUCCACAUACUUGAAGAAAGUUUGUUAUUGGUUGGUAAUCGCGGAUACUCGAGACCUAAAAGUGAUUCUUUCAUUUCACAUGGAUAAUGAGGUGUUUGAAGAAAUAAAAAUACCUCCACAUGUAAAUUAUUACUCGUCUAUAAGUUUAUAUGAAGACUCUCUCUCGAUUGUAAUUCCAGACGCAGAGCAGUGUUUUGAGAUAUGGGUGAUGAAUGACAAUAAGUGUUGGGCAAAACAUUUAACCCUUGGACCUUUCUUCAAUUUUCGAAUAAAUUUUGGAUUCUGGAAGAAUGAUGCUUUUUUUUUAGAAUCAAAUUCUAGGAUUUAUGGUGGUUGCCUUUUUUUACAUGAACAUCGUACGAAGGAAAUUAAGAAUCUCCAAGUCACAGAUCCACAAUUUGUUGUCAUCUACAAAGAGAGUCUAAUGACUAUACAAUGAGAGGAAAAAUAUUGUAAGAUAAAUUGACCUAUAUUUCAUAUUUUCACAGAAUUUCUUAUUUUAUUUUUUUUGUUCAUCAUGAUCAAGAGCGCGUGGUAGAAAAUAUACGUGGAUGAUUGGUGAUUGGUCGGCUUUACAAUACCAAGGCCUCUGGCAAACUAUAAAUUAGGAUUUUACUUACGUAUUAUUAAAGAAAAAUUGUUUGGGGGUAAUAUAUAUGUAUUAUGUAAGAAUUUGUUGUUUAAUGUUGUCUUCCUUGCUUCUUCGAAUGAGAAAUAGGAGUCAACUUUUAACUACCAAAAAUCAAUAAUCAUUUAUAGUAGGUGUAGUGCUAUAUAUCCCAAAAAUUUUAUUUCAAAAAGCUAUCCUAAAGGACGUGGCAUUGAUCAAUUUUUUUGGUGAGAAGUAUACAAUUAAUUCACUUGGAUCUUAUAAAGAAUUACCAACCAAUUAAUGAAUAACAUAUUAUUUGAGAUGUACUUUAGGAUAAAAAAAUUGAGAUAUCUAUCAUUACUCUUUAUAAUAGUCUUUCAUAUAAAAUUUUGUUGUUUCUUAAAAUAAAUUAAAAUCAUAAAAAAUAUUAUACAAAGGAAAAUUAGCAGCAACAAGGUCCAAACACUCCUAAAAUCGCGACAAUGCAAUCAAGGCUGCAGUACGAUCCUUAUAAUGAGAAUGUAUUGAGUCCUGUUUACAAUCAAAAUGAAUUACCUAAUGUCUCAAGCUAGGUCCACAUCUACAAUAUCGUUAAUCAACAACAAGUAUCUUGGAGAAUAACUUGGCUUUCACUCACACUUCAUCAAAGGGAUCUUUUCAUUUAGAGACCUAACAUUCACAAUUUCUUAUUGUUAAUAACUCCUAUUUCUCAUUUAGAGAAGCAGGAAAAACAACCUUUAAGCAAUAAAUUUUUACAUAACACACAUUACCAAAAACAAUUACUCUUUAAUAAUAAAUAAGUAAAAUCCUAAUUUACAGUUUGCCUAAGGCCUUGGUAUUACCAAUCAUCCACGUACAUUUUCCACUACGUACUCUCAAUCAUGAUGAACCAAAAAAAAAAAAAAAGAAAAAAAUUCGGUGGAAUUAUGAAAUUUAGGUCAAUUUAUCAUUCAGUGUUUUCCUCCAAUUGUCUAUUAAUUUUUGGAGAUGAAAACGUGUUUUGGUUCUAUGAUUUGGAGAUCCCUAAUCUCUUUCUUACUAUGUUCAUAUAAAAGAAGGCCACGUAGAAUAAGGCGACCAUGAUUAAACCUAUAUUCUAAAGAAAGCACAUCAUUCUUACAUAAUCCAUGAUAUGUGGGAGUAUUGCAGAAAAGUCCGAAGGUUAAAUGUUUUGCCCAAUACUUAAUGUCAUUCAUCACCCAUCCCUCAAAACAAUUAUGUGUAUCUGGAAUUACAAUUGACAAAGAGUCUUUAUAGAAACAAAGCUCGGUGUAAUCAUUUACUCGUGGAGGUAUUUGUAUUUUGUAUUUCUUGAAACACCUCAUCAUCCACGUGAAAUGAUAGAAUCACUGUUUGGUCUCGAGAAUGUGAGAUUACCAACCAAUAACAAACUGUCGUCAAGUACGCGUACUUGCCAAAUUCUCCAUUUAAUUAAAAAAUAACGAUCCAAAUAUUUACCUCCAACUACUCAUUCUCAAUGUGUACUCUUGACCAUUUGACACCUUACUAUACUUUUUUUUUUUGUUCUCAUGCCUUUAGUCGUGAACCAAAACCAACUUCAAGUCAUUUAUUAUGGGAUUAGAUUUAAAACUGUUAGGAUUGUAGUUGUAAUUGGAGUCAAUCUUGUAUUUAGCUGGCAUAAUAUUCUUGUAAUAUUCUCUUUUCUAUUCUUGGUAUGUAAAUAAGUUAGUUUAGGAAGGUUGAUUGAUUGUAGGAAGUCUAGCUUGAUUUAUGGAGAACAGUAUAGAUGUAAUCUUUUAUAUAUAUGUACAGGAUGGAAUGGCAGAGAAGCGAUUCUCACCACACCAAAAUUAGUUUGUUCAUGGUAUCAAUCAAAGGUGAGUGAUGAACAAGUGAGAAAUCAGAUUUCGCCAUAUUGCCCCCAAGUAAGUGAUAAUUGUUGAGUCUUAGAAAAUAUAUAUUUAUAAAGGAGAAAAUCGUCAUUUUACAUUUCAAGUCUUACUAACAUCCUUACUUUUAUGUAUUUACGCUUCUUGUGAUUUAAUUAUGUGUGUCUUAUUUUAAUUAAGUAUUUUAUGUAUUUUAGGGGCAUCAUGGUCAUUUCACAAUGAACGAGAGAUCAGACGGCAAAACAUACAUUACUUUUGAACUUAGGAUAGUCGAAAACCUAAAGAGCAGCAUAAAAGGAAAAAUGGCAUUGUUCACAUGUACGAUACUGUUCACGACACUGCUCACAUAGACGGAUCGAUGAUGUGGCAUUGACUGAUGAGGUGUCACGAUCCUGUUGGACUAAAAUUCUUAUGUACUGUUUAUCGGUGACGUGGCAGAAUGUUAGUGGACCAAAAAUUAUGCAUACGGUACAUGCAUAUACACAAGAUUAUUUUCAACCAAACUGCAUCACUGUUCAAACCGUGUCACUAUUCAAAUCGCGUGGUCAAACCGUGUCAUUGUUGAUAACUCUAGGAAAUGAGAAUUAUUACAUCUAUUCUAGACUUGAAUAAAGGCCAUUUAGAAAGCAAAUAAUGUAUUUUAAUUACAUUUUGGCGAAUUUUUGCAUAAAUAUUCAUUUUAGUUGAGUCUUAACAAGUUUUGCGUGAAUCAUAGUAAUUUGUGCUAAAAACAGGUUUUAAUUUGUAGGUUUUAAAUUCAUAAAAGGAUGCGAAGACAUUAGAUGAGAAAGAGGAGGAAAGAAGAUGACCACAAAAGAAGGAAAGCACAAUCGGAAAUGACAGAAGUGCCGUGGCGGAUGUUAGAGCAACCAAUGCUGCAGCAAUCUGGGAGAAACGCGGGAGAAAAUAUAGGCGCGGGUCUGCAAUUAAAUUACAAGCUGCAUGUUUCCUAAUUUAAACAUAGGCACGCGCAUGGGUGUUGGUUCGAAAAACCUAAUUUGCAAGUAUAUAAAGGAGGCAUUCACCACAAAGAAUGGCAGAGUGGAAUAAGCAUUCAAAAACAAUUACAAAGGCAAGAAGAAGAUCAAGAGUAAGGAGGGUUGUUCGGCAUCAUUGAAGAGGAGGAUCUUUAAACUUUCAUCGUGCUCCACUCACAUUAUCUUUCUUCCUUUGAUUUAUUGGAUGUAUUUUGCGAUCAGUAUAUUUAUGUUUAUUUUUCUCAUUCAGAACAUGAACUGAAUUUACUUGUAGUUGAUUGACAAAUAUCCACCCCUACUUAGCAUUUAGCAAUCAACGUUAUUUUGAGAAAAUAAUUGUUGUAAAAGUUUAGUUUUGAGACAAUAAGUCGUCCAUGUGCGUUUAUCAAUUGAGAAUCAGAAUUAAAAUAAGUUUUUUAUUUAACUUUUAGAAUUAGAGUUGGAAUAGGCUGUAUCCUCAUCAUUGGUAUGUCUACUUUGUCAAGGAUCAGAAUGAAUCGUUGCAAGUUAAUUACCAAAAUGUCUUUAGUUAAUUAUUAUCCUCAGUAUUAUAUCUAUUAUAACAGUAACAAUAACAAUGAUUAAAAAAAAUAGUAAUAACAACAACAAUAACAAUAAUAAUAUCUUAACCGGCUCAUAGGCUUUAGAUAAAACAAUUGUUUAAUGUUUUGUAGACAAACAACUAGUUGUACCUAAGAGAAAGAAGUAGAUGACAUGUCUUCCGAUACUUUCACAUAACUGACAUGUGUAAAUAAUAUGUGCCGGUGCAUAUGCUAGCUGACAUGUGGUUUAUUUUUUAAAAUGUAACCGACAUGUCAUAUAUUUCAUAUAUAAGACAAAGACAUGAUGUCUGUUUAUUUUCUUGACAAACAACACCUCAUCUUUAAUGUUGAAUUCCAAACGAUUUUAUUAAAAGUAAGAGAUUGUUUGUUUUUCAAUAGUUGCUUGAAUAAUAAUCCUUACAAUUGUAAUUGUAAAAAAAAAGAAUAAAAAAAUAUGAGUGAUCACAACCUUUAAGUUCUAAUUUUGAGUCCCAACUACUAUGGGUCACUCAUCUAAUAGAUCAUGAAUUUCAUAAUUUAUAAAUUACAUAUUUAUCAUCUAAUAGAUAUGUUACUCAAUUUUAAGGUAACUAUAAUAAGAAUUCCAAUUACAACUGUGACUAUUGAUUACAAUUAAAGUUGUAAUUACGAUUAUGUAUAAUUUUUUAUUAAAAUUAUAUAAAAUAUGCUAUUUUAAUUAGUUAACUGGUAAGUACUAAACCCAAAUAACCAUUUAAUAGAUUUUCAUAUUCAAAUUUAUUGAUUUCUUAAAUUAAAAAAAGAAAACUACAUAAUAUCAUAUGAAACAGAAAUCAAUGAUUGCCUUCUAUCUAUAAUGUUCUUCAAUUACAAAUGAACAACAUUAACUCAUUAAUCUUGCAUUUAGUCAUAAUCAAAUGGGAAUUAGAUUGAUGGGUGGGGCACACUUGAGCUAUUUGAAUUUCUUCUGCACUAUUUCAUUUAAAAACAUGUAUUUAUAAGCAAUAUUUUAAAAUUUUAAAAUCUUAAAAUUAACUCAAUUAUGUCAUUCUCUAAUUUAAGGUUGCAUUUUCUCCCUCAAAAUUGUCAGAUCCUACAAACUAAAUUUUCACUUUCACUCAAUGUUGGACAUUGAUUCUUAAUCUUUUUUAGUAAAUCAUAAUUACAUCUUCAGUUUGUUCCAAGGUUUUUAGUAAAUCCAAUUAUAUAUUACUUUUUCAUUUCAAAGAUAUCGAAGUAAAAAAAAUUAAAAAAAAGAUAUCAAGGCAAAAAUAAUUUUUUAUGGUGAAAACACUUGAAACUUUCAAUUUGUGAUGGCCUAUGUAGAAUAUGUGGAUCUGGAUUUGCCCAUUUAUGAGACACAAGCAUUAACAUUCGCUUGUAGGGGUGGCAAAAUGAAAAAUCGAAUCGAAUCGAAUUUUAAACGAAUUGGGUCAAAAUUUUGUGGAUUCGGAUUUGAUUUGUUUAUUAAACGAAUUAAAAUCUCAGGAUUCGAAUUAGAUUCGUUUAUUAAACGAUUAUUUAGUUUAAUUCAUUUAAUAGAUUAAUAAAAGAAUUGAAUCAAAUUCAAAUUCAUUUAUUAUUAAUUUAUCCUAAUAAUAAAUGAAUCCAUAACUAAUCGAAUUGAAUAUGAAUUUGUUUACAAAAGUUAAAUAAAUAAUCCAAACCAUAAAAGUUUUCAUCUUAUUUAUAUAUUGUGUUAUUAUUAUUUAUAAUUACUAGAUUAACCUUCAAAUUUUAAAUUUUUUUUAUAAAUAUUUAAGAAUAAAUAAGUAAUUUAAUUAAACGAAUAAAUUGUAUUCGGUUCGUUUAUAACCCAUUUAUUAAAUGAAUACUAAACGAAUAAACGAAUCAAUGUCUUCAAACCUGAAUUCAAUUCGUUUAAUUAACGAAUCGAACUGAAUUCACCAAUUUAUAAACGAAUCAAAAUUUUCAAACCCAAACGCGUUUAAUUCGCUUCAAAUUGAAUCGAAUAAACAAAUCUUGGUCCAAAUUGCCGCCCCUAGUCGCUUGCAAGAGAACAUUGAAAGAAAAUAUGUUGAGUGGUGAGAAUAUGAUGAAUUGGAAACCGAAAAUAAAGGUUGAUUAGAUAAUUUCAUUUAAAAAAUAUUUUGGCAAAAAAAAAAAACUAAGAAAAGGAUGUUAAAAGGAAAUUGGUGGGUUAUUUGAAAUAGUCCCAUCAAAAUAUGAUAUACAUAAUUUCUUAAGAAAGUUAAUUUUAGGAAAAAAAAUUAUUAACAUGAUCUAAGUUGCCAAAUUAUUUGUGAUAUUUUUUUGAGAUAAAAAUUUAUGAUGUGUAAUACUACUCUUUUUUUUGCUGCGUUUACUUUUUAGAUUGGAGUGAGAAUCCUGAGGAGUGGGAAUCCUUGGAUUAGGAGUGUGGAGUGGGAGUGGGAGUAGGGUGUUUACUUAGGCUAAAUAAAAGUAUGGAUUGUCAAUCAGAAUCCUAAUUAUUUGUUUACUUUGUCUUGGAUUGGGAGUAAAUUGUUUUAAAUUACAAUUUUAUCCUUAUGUACAAAAUUAUAAUUUGUAAUUAAAAAAUUAAUAAAAAAUAUAUUUGGAAAAUAAAAUAAAUAUUUUAUUAUAUUUAUAAAUUAAUAAUAAUUACUAAUAUUCUUAAUUAUGUAAAUCAUAAUUUUUUAUUAAUUUUAAUUUAAAUUAUGUGAAUAAAAAUUAUUAAUAAUAGCAACACAAAUGAAAUAUUAUUAUUGAUAAUAUAGUACAAAAUUAAUAUUUUUUUAGAAUAAAAUAUUUGUUAUUAUUAAUUAAAUAAAUAAUUAAUAUUUAUUAAAAUUAAUGUUUAAUAUUAUUAAUUUAAAUAUAAUAUUUAUUUAUUUUUAUUUUAUUAAAUUUAAUAAAAUAAAUAUGAUAUAAUUAUUAUUUUUAAUAAAUAUGAUAUUAUUUAUUUUAUUAAAUAUGAUAUUAUUUAUUUUAUUAAAUAUGAUAUUAUUUAUUUUAUUAAAUAUGAUAUUAUUUUAUUUUAUUAAAUAUGAUAUUAUUUAUUUUAUUAAAUAUUAUUUAUUUAUUUAUUUUUAUAAGGAUAAAAUGGGAAGAGGGGGGAGUGGAUUCCCACUCCCACCUCCCCCCAUGGGAGUGGGAAUCCCACUCCCCACUCUAAAAUUGGGUGGGACCCACGGAUUCUCACUCCCACUCCCCUUUUUUAAUGUAAGUAAACACUGGAGUGGGAGGAACCCACACUCCACACUCCCACUCCAGAAAGUAAACAAUACCUUAAUUGAAAAAUGAUUGAUGACAUAUCCAUAGCUAUUUGUUUACUUCAUUUUUAUGAUAAUGUAAUUGUAGAAGAAUUACUCAUCUUCGUAUUUUACAUAUGCUUAAAAUUAAAUAAAAUUCUCUAUAAAUUAUUAUAUCUCUUAUUUAUUUUAUUUCUUUCUCUUGUUAUAUUGCUAGGCUCCAAGUUGAAAACUAAUUUAACAAAAUUUUUAUUUCUUAAUAAUUUUUUUUUUAACUUCUUUUCAAUAAUUAUGGAAUUAAAUUUCUAACCGUUUUGUUAGCGGUUUGGAGAAACCCGAAAUGGAAAAAUCCCUUGAACCGUCCGGUCCAAUUCCAUCACACCGAACCGACGUCGUUCCAUCAACACGCCCACAAACCGAAUUGCACUUCAAAGGUUCAACAGCUUUGUUCCCCCAAUCUCACUCUUUCUUCGAAACGGCUACUUUGUUUCAAUUCAAUAAAACAAUCAACAAAUCAAGCCAAUAAUUUAUGCAAAUAAAGAACAAAUGGAGACUCAUUUCACUCACAGUUACUUCGAAAGACGACCAAUUGUCAAAUCCAAGACUCCGGCUGUUAAAUGGUUCAGAGAAUGGUAAUUUUGGCCAAAUUAGCCAAUUCCCUUUUCUUAAUUCUUUCAAGUUUCCUAUUUUUUAAUUCAAGUUUCAAUUUUUAUUUUUUCAAUGCGAAGCAAUUUUCUUAUUUUCUUAUUUAUUUAUUAUUAUUAUUUUCCUUGAAGGGUGCCCCAAGAUAUUGCGGCUACUGGUGGGAAGUGCCAGAUUUUGAGGUGGGUAAAUGCUAAGUGAUUUUUAUACAUUCUUAUGCUAACAAAAAACAUUUUGGUUGAAUUUAAAUUUAAAUUUUAAAUUUUUUUGGUUUUUUUAUAUGUUGUUAUUUGUUAAUAACUGUUGUUUGAUUCAACUUGUAUGAAAGUUAAAUAAGUUAGUGUGUGGUGAAGAAAUAAAUGAAAACUAAGUUGAAGAAACAAAUGGAAACUAAGUUGAACAGCAUUUAGAGUACCUAAUUUAAAUGCUUCUUCUUCUUUGCUUUGAAUGGGAAAUUCUGAGAAUUUUGUAUGUUUGCAAAUUUUGUUGCAAUUAGAACUUAUUGGGCUAUGGUCACAAAGUCUCCAUAGGCUAUUCUAGUCCAAAGAGGUGGAAUUGGGAUUUCUUUUGUUAUUUUCAUUUUUUUGGGUGCUUAAGGAAUUCGAUAUCUUUGAGGAUCAGUUUGUUGUGAAUUGGAUGAGAUUAAUAUUCAAGAUUAUGAAUGGAGAAGAUGAUACAAUUUGUCCUUUUAAACAUGCCAUUAGAACAUUAGUUUUUUUUUAAAAAAUAAAUAAAGUGUAUUUUUUCAUUUUAUUUGGAAGUUUAAAUGAUUGUAGGGUUUUCCAUAUUUUUGCUUUGCUGCUUUUGUGUGAAUACCAUGUAACUCUAUGAGCAACAUUGUUUUAAGGUAGCAUGCUGUAUUUGAUGAGUAUAUCUUGCUAGCUAGUGGUUAUCAGUUCUUUCUGUUAUCUGUUGUUAAGCUUUCACACUAUUUUGUCGGUUGUAGAUUCUCAUUUGCAUUUUUGUUUCUUUCUGUGAGUAGUGCACUACAUCUGAUGUGCUAAUGGUCUUUCAACUUGCUUUUGAUUCAAUAAUGGAAGCUUUGGCAUUUAAAUUUCCAUAGUUUCCAUUAGAUUCAGGGGAGCCAUGUCAGAGUUUUGUAAGAGGAGAAAUCUUUAGAUGGCUUUGUGUCAAAAUUUACUUUUAAGGAAUUCUCAUUUUCAUUUAUUCCCAACAUUUUAUGUCCUCCGUCCGUUUGUGUUCAGAGAAAACGUUGAAGGCCUUAAAGGAGAAGGCAAAAGAGCCAGAGGCACCAGAGCCGGAGCCAGAACCUACCACUGAAGUUCUAUUUCUAUGCAGCUAUGAAGGCUGUGGGAAGACAUUUAUCGAUGCUGCCUCUUUGAGAAAGCAUGCUCACAUUCAUGGAGAGAGACAAUAUCAGUGUCACUAUGAAGGAUGUGGAAAGGUAAGACAUGACGCAUUUAAUGUAGUUUUUAAUAUUUCAUUCAUGAUUUCUUUAGACUGCUUAAAAUCAUGAGAUUCAUCAUACUUCUUGAGGUUUAAAAUAUGAUAAUAGUUUAAAAAAGAAAAGGAAACUAUUAUAUGUAUGCGUAGAGACAAGCUGUUGUGUCUGAUCUUGGACAUACUAUCCAACAUGGCCUCUCUAAAAAUUGUGGGAUGUUGGAUUAAACAAAGUGAGGAAUUUGGGUUUGUGGCUGAGGGCGGGAGUGUUUCUGAGUUGUAAAAAUUUGGGGAACUUCAUGUGUAUGAAAGCAAUUUGCAUCGAUGAUUUGAGUGGGGAAGCAAAGGUACUAUUGAGAAUCAGGUGCUAUCACCAAACAUUUUUUCUUUUGGUGGGUCUUUUUGUGCGGCUAGUUCAAACCCUCUGGUUAAAUAAGAUCUGUCAGUCUGGUUUGGGACUGAAGGUGGUCCAGCCUUGUUCAUAUACAGUCUUUUGUAAACAAUCCUCAAAUUGUUUUCUUGGUAUAUUUAUGUUAUGUUAAAGGCUAAGCCUCAUCACUUUUUUUAUUUCUCUUUUUCUUGAAUUUUUUUUUAAUUGAUGUCGUUCUUUCAGGCAUAUAAAAAAUGGUUUUUGAAGUAAUUUUGUACUUUUUGAUGCAGAAAUUUUUGGAUAGUUCGAAGUUAAAAAGACACUUUCUUAUUCAUACUGGAGAAAGAGAUUACGUAUGUCCUCAUGAAGGCUGUGGUAAGGUGAAGAAUCUAUCCAUCCUAAAGCAUUUUGUCAAAACUUUGCGGAGGCUACCUUAUCUUUUUCUUUUUUCUUAUUGCUGACAUUAUCAUAAGAUAUGAGAAAUAUUAUACAUUUGUUUUCUGCCUGAAACAUUUCUAUUUGAUGAUUGAUUCCAUUGUCUUAUGGUCCCUUGCCCACAAUUUUAAAAUUUUAGGUCAUUUGGUAAAUAAUAUUAAUACCUUGGAUGUUUAAUAAUAUUUUGAAAAGAGAAGUACAGUUUGUUGUACCCUGUGAUUGCUGAGGACAUCAUGGGUUUUAGUAAGCAAGAUUCUGUGAGACGCUUUGAUUGCCAUACAAUAUUAAGUGUCAUGUAUCCAAUCCAGGGGGACCCAAUGAUGUUGAAGUCUCAGGCUGGCAAGUGGAGGAUCAUGGAGUUCAGUCUUGAGAAUUGCCACUAUGCAAAAGCCACUUAGGGGUAUUAGUGUAUUUGGAAUCCCCCUAUAACCUUGUUUUAUUUGGACCGACUCUCUGUGAAGACCUCUCCCAUUAUUAUUGAGAAUGAAUGUUCGGUACUUAAUAUCAGGGUUGGUUGUAUUGUAACUUGGAUGGAUCAAAUAUGAGAGACUCAUGUUUUUUCAUCAUCUUGUAAAGGGCAUAGUGCUAAUCUUACCUUGAGGUUGCCGUUUUGGCUUAAGAUGUUACUUUAUUGUACAUUUCUGUAUGUGCACACACUUGUACUUGUACCCAGCAUUUGUGGUGUUCCUAAUUACAAAUAUGAAAUAUGCAGGCAUUCUCUUUGGACUUCAACCUGAGAUCACACAUGAAAACACAUUCACAAGAAAAUUAUCACAUCUGCCCAUACCCAGAUUGUGGAAAGAGAUAUGCUCAUGAGUACAAGUUAAAGAAUCAUAUUGCAUCUCACCACGAAAAGGUUGGUGCUAUUUCCUUGCUGUUACUAUUUUGCAGUGCCAACGCCUUUUUAGUAUUUUUCUAUGCUAUUUUAGAUAUUUUUCCUGCUUUUUUUGUUGCAUUUUAAGUUAAUUCCUUUCAUAGAACAUAUCUUAUGUAGUUUAUGAUGUGUAAAGCAACAUGACUUCGGUUUCAUCUCAGAUUAUAUUAGUCAUCUGUCAAAAGGAAUUUUACUUAUUUCUUUUCUAAAGAUAUCCUUCAAGUCUGUUAACAAUGGCAACAUAUGAAUGUUUGUGUUCUAGUGGAAUUGUAUUCAUUUCACCUUUAGUAUGGCCAUAGUACAAAUGGUUAUUAUUAUCACUGAAAGAUGUAGUACAGAAACCAUCUGCUAUUUUUCUUAAAACUCUUAAGAUCAUCCCAUGUGUCGCUGGUUGACUUCACUGUAGAUCUAGAAUGGUUAUCAUAAUUAUGUUCUUUUUAUUUUUUUAAUUUUAUUUGAUAUACAUAGGACAUCAAAAUACCAUUCUGCCAACAUGAAUUUCAGAAAUUGAUUGCCAUGAAGCAAAGAUCGUCUGUAUAUAUUUUUUCUCUCAAAACUCGUAUAUCAUAUCUGAUUCUUAGUUUCGAGAUUUGAUUUCUCAGAAUGCUGCAGUGGAGGUGCCCAGAUACGCUACUCCUCCCGAGAGGAUAACAAAAACUCCCAAGCCACCUGCUGGGGUUUAUGGUUCUGCAUCAUCUGAACGUCCUUAUGCAUGUCCUUAUGAAGGGUGUGAAAAGGCAUAUAUCCAUGAAUACAAGCUUAAACUCCAUCUGAAGCGGGAGCAUCCUGGCCAUAUGUCUGAUGAAAAUGCCGAGAAUGCCACAACUAAUGCUGAUAAUGAGAUGGAUGAAGGCAGUGACCAAGAUGCCUAUGCUGGAAAACGUGUUAAUGGUAAAAGUCAAAAACAAAGCCGGGCGAAGCCAAACUUGAAGAUGCCUCCUGCAAAAGUAACGCAACGCAAAAGCUCAACUCCAUCUCCUGCCACCUUGAAUGUAGUGAGAAAGCAACAAUGGACUCCUAAAGAAGAAGUUUACGAGGAAGAAGAUAGUGAAGAAACUGAGGAAGAUCGUGACAAUGUUGAGGAUGGAUUUAGGUACGGGGAAAAUAAUGAAGAUGAUGAUGAGGAGACUGAGUACGAAGACUGAAGCAUAUAAAAAUGUUUCCUUCACCCUUCUGGUAAGGGCACCUUGUAUGUAUCUAACCCUUACAAACAGGUUCUCUGUCAUCUUUUAUCUGCUUGCUUUCAGCAUCUUUUUUUCUCUCAUUGCAGCAUAUAAAUAAAGUUAAAAAUUUUUAAUUUUAAAAUAUUGGUGAUUCGCUAAAGAAUUUCAUAUGACGAAUUUGUGAAUUUUUCAUCUUGGGAUAAACACAAAGCUGAUGCAAUCAACUCAUCAUGCCAAAAUUUAUGCACCUGAGCCGCAUAAGAGACUUGACUGGUAAGUUUGACAAAAUUUCAAUCGUUAUAUCAUCAGAACAUAAAUGAUUUGAAAGAGAGGGGAGACCACAACAUGAAUAAGUUAAUCAGUUAGUGUCAUAAAGAGAGAUUUGGAUUCAUUAAUUGUUUACUUUUGUGCUGGCUCUAACAAAGCUUUGAUCAUAAAUUGGCAAUCCAUUUGGAAAUAAUUUUCAACCUCCAACCUAUAGCCCAUCAAUCACCCACUUGUAAUUUCCCGGGCAAGUAGAGCGUAAACCAUUUUACCAAGCAAUGCAUGUAGAACUUAAAUCUAAGAUAUGCCAUGAAAAUUGGAAAAAUUAGGAUAAUUCAUCUUCUCUCUUUUUAAUAUUCUUUUAUUUAAAAAAAAAUGGAUAGGGAUAGAAAUUUCACCCACCACACACUAAUCCUUGAUCCCAAAUCUACUUGUAUUAAUGUUUAUAAUUAAUUUCUUCUAUUUAAUACUUGUCAAUAAGGCCACAUAGGUAAGUGCUAUAAGAUUUCGUGCAUUGGAACCCAUGGUUAUGGACCUGAAUCCAUUAGUAUGGAUCAUUUUCUUUUCCAAUUGAAAUCCAUUAGUAUAUGGAAGAGUGAAAAAGUACUUUCGUUGUUCUGGAAUAAAAAGUCUUCGUAUCUUAAUGCAUAUAUUUAAUGUAUUCGGGACUAUUAGAACUUAUUACUCAAACUUAAGUUAUUGUAAUUGCAAUAAAUAUUCAUGGCUGGUUGAGCUACACCCAAGAGGCUCUUUAUCCUCUCAUUAUAUUGUCAUUAGACUCUCUUUGUAAAUAAAAACAUCAUCCGGAUCGGUAAUUUAGAGAUCCCUAAUUUCUUAUGUAUGAAUUCAACAUAUAUAGAUUUUUAAAUAAAUGCGCCAUUCUUCCACAAUCCAUAAUGUCUAGGAAUACUGAAGAAAGGUCCAAUACUAAAUAGCGAUCCAUUUGACGAUCACAUAUUUCUUCAACUAUUUCUUCUGGAUGUGUACACUUGAUCAUUCGACAGCUUACCGUACUUUCUCAUCCCACGAGUCUUGUACCAAUAAUCAACUUAAAAGAACCACUCGGCUCAGCCCGAGUGGCCAGGGCUGCUGCUCUCCAACUUGGAGGACAGUAGUUCGAACCCCAACAAAAGCAUUGUGGAGGUAUUUCUUUCCUCAAUUAAUUGAGUGAAGGUAGUCUUCUCCCUUACCCAUGAGUGAGGAGUAGACUUCCCUUGAAUAUUUGUGAGGGUUAAAAUUUGGGCAGAGCUCCAUUAACAUUGAUGUAAGUUGGUCUUAGUAAUAGUCUGAUUUGUAAAUAUCAAUUAUAAUCUUAUAUAAUAAGUUGUAAUCUGAGCAAUAGUCUCAUGUAAUAAAAAAAAAUAAUCAACUUAAAAGUCAUUGUAUAAUAUGCAAAAUAAACCAUCAUAUUAGUCCACGAAAUUGUCAAAACGUCUUAUAAUUUGGCUUUCAAUAUCUUCAUAUGAUAAAUUAACUUGUAAGCGUUUCAUCCUGGAAUAAAUACGAAGCUGAUGCAAUAAUUUCCUUACCAAAUUCCACAGAAUCAACGAAUGCAUUAAUAAAAAGACGAGUUUCAGCAUUGUUGUUCUGGAGAUGUGAGAUUCGAAUCCCCGCACAUGAGUAGCCUGGGAAUUGGAUUGCCGUUACCUAAAUUAACCCAAAAAAAAAAAGCUUAAUUUAUUCUUAUUUGAAUUCUUUUUCUAUCAAUUUAAAUCACAUAAGUAGAUAUUUUGACCGAGUGUUUUUCAAUUAAUAUGAUUUGGUUGGCUAUUCGAGUUCGAUUAUAGGAGAGGUAAGGAGCUAAAAUUUUAAUUUGAACUCAGCUACCCCUCUAUCUUUUUAAAAAUACAUAAAUAAAUUUAACAAUCGUUUAAAUUUACAUAAUUUAAUUAUCUUUUGUUUCUUUGCCGUAUCAGCUGCUAUAGCGAGCAUAAGUGCAGGUGGUCAACAGUGAACAGCAACACGGUUGCACACGGUGAAUAGUAACACGGUUUGAACAAUAACGGUUUGAAUAAUAAUGCGGUUUGAACAAUAACGCAGUUUAAACAGUAACACAAUUUGAACAGUGUUAUACGUUUGGUUAUAAAUAGAGAGGAGAGGUUAGAGCUUGAAUCAUCCCAAUUUUGAGAGCAAUUGCAAGUGAAACAAUUUGAGAGUUUUGAGAGAGCUUUUACUUGAGCGCUAGGAGGAUUCAAUUAGGUGUAUUGGAGUUGUGGGUAUUGAAAGUUUUUUUCCCACUUUUGUAGAAUUCUAAAAUUAUCUUCCAGUCUUUUUUCCGUGGACAUAGGAAUUACGCCGAAAUAAAUUAUUGUGUCAUUUUCUUUGCAUUUGUUUACAUCACAUUUAUAUUUCUCUAGAAAUUACAGUCUCUGUAAUAUUGGUAAUUGCUCAACCCUGUACUUCUGCAACAAGUCAAACAUUCAUAGAAAUAAAAUAUUAAAUUAAAUUGAGGGAAAAAAAAUUACAGUGAUUUAUUCUUGUUAUUUCAUCAUCCAUCCAACCGUGGACAACUCAAGGACUCGGCAACAAAGCUGUUGUAUUACCUGCGGUCUACCCAAGAAGAAAGCCCUCGUUUAGCGAAUGAGACUAUUUAAUCCACCAAAUUAAGUAGUCUUCAAACUUAAUUUCUCAAGAGGGGGAAAAAAACCUAUUAGUCAAGCGGGGAUCAAGGAUCCUCAUCCCACCCUGAAUUAAUUAUGAUGGGAUACGUACGAGGACGCCGAUCCCCUCCCCUCCCCUCACAACUACCAUCCUAAUAAUAACGAUUCUGGACACCUCGCAUGUCUUCCACCUCUUCCUCGUAUUCUCCAUAAUUUACUUGAUUGAAUGUUUUAAAUUUCCAUUUCGAUUGGCUUUUCAGUCUCGUUAGGACAUAUUCUUCGAUCCAGCAAUGCUACGGAACCUACCAAUAUUUUGAUCGCACCGAUACGUGGUUGAUCGUGAUCCGGCCUGUUCCCUCGCAUUGCAACAAAAUUAAACUUGUAGCUUUAGAAUCAACGCGUAGAAUGACCUCCAUUAGCAGAUAAUCAUUCAAGCAUUUAAGAAUUGGCCUAGUGCCGUCUCUGGCAUUUAAGAAUCAACGCAUACUUGAAUCGAUGAACAUGACACAAUAGUGAUAAAACAACUGUGAAAUAAUAAUAUGGUGUAAUAAUGUUAAGUAAGAAAUUAGGAAUUUUUUUUUUCUUGAACAACACUAUAACGGAACAUGAUCUUCUCCCGAUCUGAGUAUUACUGAGCUUUUAAUAAUCUUUUGCCAUGUGUCUUUUAGUGGUACUGUAUAGGUAAGAUUUAACUUCUUUAACUUUUUUAUUUAUUAACAACCAAUCAAUAAUUAAUUUAUUUGCUCAGGACAUGAUCAGAUCAGGAGAGAAUCAUGAUUACACUAUAACACCCUACGUUUUCACAAUCAUUUUGUCGCUGUUUUGUCACUGUUAGGACAAUUCUUCAUUUUUCCUGGCGUUUAUUGCUCAGUAUAUUUCUUUACUGUGUGAUUGUUUCCAUCUGAAUUAUUCCUUUAUUUCGUAAUGCAGCCUACAAGUUCAAAACUUUAACCAGGGUGAUAUAUGCUUGGAAAUAUUCCUCGCGUGGUGGGUUAUGUUGGCCUCUACCAUGUUUUCUGCCACCUUAUGCCUCAAAAAAUAUGUAUUUGACCUUCAACAGAGAUUUUGCCAGACCACAUCCAUUUCGUUAACCAAAGAUAUAUUGCUGCUUGGCUAGAAAAACAAAUUAAAUAGAGAAAACACAAUUCUAUAAUUAGAACUUAAUUAGAAGGAAGAAAUAAUUAACUAAUUAAUUGUAAUAUAUAUGAAAGAAGAUAAACUAGUAAGUGCUCGUGUCUAUGAUAAGGUGAGUACCUAAACACAUGAUAGAAUAAUUUUAUAACUCCUUGUAAAUUAUGGACUAAUAGGAUUAAGUGAACAGCGUCGCCUACUGAAUUAUUACAGACACAAAAAAUAUGUUUUAAUUUUGGAUCCUAAAUUUUGUUAAAGUUCGAAAAAAAAAAAUAAACUGUUUGGUUUAAUAAUGUAAAGAUUAUUAAUACUAUUAAUCUUUAAGAUCCGAAAGACCCAACACAUUGCUACAGAGCCCAAAUAAUAUCUCCCACGCAAUUGGAUAGUGAACUCCGCUGAGCAAUGCACGGAACAAAAUUUAUAGCUUGAGUAUCAACACAUAGUGUCACCUCCAUUAGGAGAGACUUGUUCAAGCAUUUAUAAAGUGGCGUAGUACCGUUUCUGGCGACUAUUGCGAGAGUAUAAUUCCCUUCAGAGAGACCGUCUCCAUCUGGAUUUAUGCCUGCAUCUCGAAAUGCGGCCUCCAAGUUCACAGCUUUAGCCAGCGUGAUAGCAGUUCGUGGCCUCUGCCGUGAUGCUUCCACUCCCUCUUCCAAAACUGUUCAUUUUCAUUUCGGGUAAGACUUGGCCAGAACUUGUUCAUCUCGGCAGCAAAAGAUUUAUUGCUUUCUAGCUACAAAGAAAGAGUAAAAAUUAAUUAAUAAAUGACCGUAGAAUAAUGUAUAGGAAAAACUAUAUAUAUAGCCCAUGGGAGUGAAGCAGGUACCAUGGCUGGUACAUUAAUAGUUUGAUUAUUGGUAUUUGUCGAGGACCUGCCGGAAGAAUUUACUGGCCAGAGGCCGUGUAGGACGAAUUUUGAUGGCUUUAUUCUGCAGGGCUCUGGCCUAUGAACCUGGCAGUACACAGGUGGCCAUGUCUGGACUAGAAAAUAUUGACGAAAAUCUUGUGCACCACCGGAGGCGAAUGCGAUGCAGGAAACUGAGAAAACAAAGAAGAUGAACGAGAAACUACUCUUCAUUUUGAUUAACAUUAAUUUGACAAUACUAAAAUGCAUAAGAGUAUAACUGACACAUAAAUAGAUAAUAUUAAGCAGUGGUAUGAUAAAAGGAAGAUGGGUGCAUGUACAAACUAAUUAAUGUCAUCAUAAAUAAUUUUAAUAAGGACCAUCCCCCCCUGCUUAAUUUGUUUUCUUUUUGUUUUGGGAUAAAUUGGUAAUUUUCACUUCAUUCCUUGACAGCUGUUGACCUAUUUUUUUUUCCCUCCCUAAACAAACUAAUUCCAUUGUAAAAACUGAAUCCUAAAAAUCAUCUGAAACACACAACUCCAAUUAUCAUUCGGACCAUAGAAUUUUCUCUUAUUUUGAGCAUCUCUUCCCAUAAUUAACUUGUGGUUCCCCUCUAUCGCAUUCUUCUAUUAUAAAGCAUUUUAGAUGUUACAUUAUAGAAUCAAAAUUACUGAUUAUAUUUACAAUCAGGAAGAGAUAAUAAUGUUGACAACCAAUAUCAAUUCUUUUCCCGAAGAUAUAACGAUUGAAAUUCUGUCAAGAUUGCCAGCUAAAUUUGUUUUGCGAUUCAGGUGCGUUUGCAAGUCCUGGCUUGAGUUAACUAAGAAACCUUCUUUCAUUUCCAAGCAUUUCCAAAACAAUAGUACAAGAACUCGUCUUUUCGUUGAUGCAUCUGUUAGUUCUGCGGUAUUUGGUAUGGGAAUCGUUACAUCAGCUUUGUACUUAUUCCAUGAUGAAAAACUUGCAAUUUAUCAUAUGAAGACAUUAAACCCCAAAUUCAUGAUAAAUUUGUGGGCUAUCAUGAUGGUUUAUUUUGCAUAAUGCAGAGUUCAACGAAUCGUCUAACUAUAUGGAAUCCAGCAACAAGAGAAUUUAGAAACCUUCCAAAUUAUAAAUAUUGUAAUUCUUCCAACCGUUUAAUACCUCCUAGUACUUUCAUCUGUCUUGAAUCUGAUCCCAUAAAUAAUGACUUUAAAUUGCUUUUCGUACACAACUUAUGGAAUGAGAAAAGGAAAAGGUAUGGUAAGGUGCCUAAUGUUCAAGUGUACGGAUUCAGAACAAAUAGUUGGAGAGAAGUACAUGGUCAUCAAUUGGAUCGUUAUUUUGUAUUAGACGGAGGUAAAUUUGGUACGUCCACAUACUUGAAGAAAGUUUGUUAUUGGUUGGUAAUCGCGGAUACUCGAGACCUAAAAGUGAUUCUUUCAUUUCACAUGGAUAAUGAGGUGUUCGAAGAAAUAAAAAUACCUCCACAUGUAAAUUAUUACUCGUCUAUAAGUUUAUAUGAAGACUCUCUCUCAAUUGUAAUUCCAGACGCAGAGCAGUGUUUUGAGAUAUGGGUGAUGAAUGACAAUAAGUGUUGGGCAAAACAUUUAACCCUUGGACCUUUCUUCAAUUUUCGAAUAAAUUUUGGAUUCUGGAAGAAUGAUGCUUUUUUUAUAGAAUCAAAUUCUAGGAUUUAUGGUGGUUGCCUUUUUUUACAUGAACAUCGUACGAAGGAAAUUAAGAAUCUCCAAGUCACAAAUCCCCAAUUUGUUGUCAUCUACAAAGAGAGUCUAAUGACUAUACAAUGAGAGGAAAAAUAUUGUAUGAUAAAUUGACCUAUAUUUCAUAAUUUCACAGAAUUUUUUAUUUUAUUUUUUUUGUUCAUCAUGAUCAAGAGCGCGUGGUAGAAAAUAUACGUGGAUGAUUGGUGAUUGGCCGGCUUUACAAUACCAAGGCCUCUGGCAAACUAUAAAUUAGGAUUUUACUUACGUAUUAUUAAAGAAAAAUUGUUUGGGGGUAAUAUAUAUGUAUUAUGUAAGAAUUUGUUGUUUAAUGUUGUCUUCCUUGCUUCUUCGAAUGAGAAAUAGGAGUCAACUUUUAACUACCAAAAAUCAAUAAUCAUUUAUAGCAGGAGUAGUGCUAUAUAUCCCAAAAAUUUUAUUUCAAAAAGCUAUCCUAAAGGACGUGGCAUUGAUCAAUUUUUUUGGUGAGAAGUAUACAAUUAAUUCACUUGGAUCUUAUAAAGAAUUACCAACCAAUUAAUGAAUAACAUAUUAUUUGAGAUGUACUUUAGGAUAAAAAAAUUGAGAUAUCUAUCAUUACUCUUUAUAAUAGUCUUUCAUAUAAAAUUUUGUUGUUUCUUAAAAUAAAUUAAAAUCAUAAAAAAUAUUAUACAAAGGAAAAUUAGCAGCAACAAGGUCUAAACACUCCUAAAAUCGCGACAAUGCAAUCAGGGCUGCAGUCCGAUCCUUAUAAUGAGAAUGUAUUGAGUCCUGUUUACAAUCAAAAUGAAUUACCUAAUGUCUCAAGCUAGGUCCACAUCUACAAUAUCGUUAAUCAACAACAAGUAUCUUGGAGAAUAACUUGGCUUUCACUCACACUUCAUCAAAGGGAUCUUUUCAUUUAGAGACCUAACAUUCACAAUUUCUUAUUGUUAAUAACUCCUAUUUCUCAUUUAGAGAAGCAGGAAAAACAACCUUUAAGCAAUAAAUUUUUACAUAACACAUAUUACCAAAAAAAAUUACUCUUUAAUAAUAAAUAAGUAAAAUCCUAAUUUACAGUUUGCCUAAGGCCUUGGUAUAACCAAUCAUCCACGUACAUUUUCCACUACAUACGCUCAAUCAUGAUGAACCAAAAAAAAAAAAGAAAAAAAUUCGGUGGAAUUAUGAAAUUUAGGUCAAUUUAUCAUUCAGUGUUUUCCUCCCAGUGUCUAUUAAUUUUUGGAGAUGAAAACGUGUUUUGGUUCUAUGAUUUGGAGAUCCCUAAUCUCUUUCUUACUAUGUUCAUAUAAAAGAAGGCCGCGUAGAAUAAGGCGACCACGAUUAAACCUAUAUUCUAAAGAAAGCACAUCAUUCUUACAUAAUCCAUGAUAUGUGGGAAUAUUGCAGAAAAGUCCGAAGGUUAAAUGUUUUGCCCAAUACUUAAUGUCAUUCAUCACCCAUCCCUCAAAACAAUUAUGUGUAUCUGGAAUUACAAUUGACAAAGAGUCUUUAUAGAAACAAAGCUCGGUGUAAUCAUUUACUCGUGGAGGUAUUUGUAUUUUGUAUUUCUUGAAACACCUCAUCAUCCACGUGAAAUGAUAGAAUCACUGUUUGGUCUCGAGAAUGUGAGAUUACCAACCAAUAACAAAUUGUCGUCAAGUACGUGUACUUGCCAAAUUCUCCAUUUAAUUAAAAAAUAACGAUCCAAAUAUUUACCUCCAACUACUCAUUCUCAAUGUGUACUCUUGACCAUUUGACACCUUACUAUACCUUUUUUUUUUUCUCAUGCCUUUAGUCGUGAACCAAAACCAACUUAAAGUCAUUUAUUAUGGGAUUAGAUUUAAAAAUGUUAGGAUUUUAGUUGUAAUUGGAGUCAAUCUUGUAUUUAGCUGGCAUAAUAUUCUUGUAAUAUUCUCUUUUCUAUUCUUGGUAUGUAAAUAAGUUAGUUUAGGAAGGUUGAUUGAUUGUAGGAAGUCUAGCUUGAUUUAUGGAGAACAGUAUAGAUGUAAUCUUGUAUAUAUAUGUAUAGGAUGGAAUGGCAGAGAAGCGAUUCUCACCACACCAAAAUUAGUUUGUUCAUGGUAUCAAUCAAAGGUGAGUGAUGAACAAGUGAGAAAUCAGAUUUCGCCAUAUUGCCUCCAAGUAAGUGAUAAUUGUUGAGUGUUAGAAAAUGUAUAUUUAUAAAGGAGAAAAUCGUCAUUUUACAUUUCAAGUCUUACUAACAUCCUUACUUUUAUGUAUUUACGCUUCUUGUGAUUUAAUUAUGUGUGUCUUAUUUUAAUUAAGUAUUUUAUGUAUUUUAGGGGCAUCAUGGUCAUUUCACAAUGAACGAGAGAUCAGACGGCAAAACAUACAUUACUUUUGAACUUAGGAUAGUCGAAAACCUAAAGAGGAGCAUAAAAGGAAAAAUGGUACUGUUCACAUGUACGAUACUGUCUACGUUACUGUUCACGACACUGCUCACAUAGACAGAUCGAUGAUGUGGCAUUGACUGAUGAGGUGUCACGAUCCUAUUGGACUAAAAUUUUUAUGUACUGUUUAUCGGUGACGUGGCAGCAUGUUAGUGGACCAAAAAUUACACAUACGGUACAUGCGUAUACAUAGGAUUAUUUUCAACCAAACUGCAUUACUGUUCAAACCGUGUCACUAUUCAAAUCGCGUGGUCAAACCGUGUCACUGUUGAUAACUCUAGGAAAUGAGAGUUAUUACAUCUAUUCUAGACUUGAAUAAAGGCCAUUUAGAAAGCAAAUAAUGUAUUUUGAUUACAUUUUGGCGAAUUUUUGCAUAAACAUUCAUUUUAGUUUAGUCUUAACAAGUUUUGCAUGAAUCAUAGUAAUUUGUGCUAAAAAUAGGUUUUAAAUUCAUAAAAGGAUGCGGAGACAUUAGAUGAAAAAGAGGAGGAAAGAAGAUGACCACAAAAGAAGGAAAGCACAAUCAGAAAUGACACAAGUGCCGUGGCGGAUGUUAGAGCAACCAAUGCUGCAGCAAUCUGGGAGAAACGCGGGAGAAAAUAUAGGCGCGGGUCAGCAAUUAAAUUACAAGCUGCAUGUUUCCUAAUUUAAACACAGGCACGCUCAUGGGUGUUGGUUCGGAAAACCUAAUUUGCAAGUAUAUAAAGGAGGCAUGCACCACAAAGAAUGGCCGAGUGGAAUAAGCAUUCAAAAACAAUUACAAAGGCAAGAAGAAGAUCAAGAGUAAGGAGGGUUGUUCGGCAUCAUUGAAGAGGAGGAUCCUUAAACUUUCAUCGUGCUCCACUCAUAUUAUCUUUCUUCCUUUGAUUUAUUGGAUGUAUUUUGCGAUCAGUAUAUUUAUGUUUAUUUUUCUCAUUCAAAACAUGAACUAAAUUUACUUGUAGUUGAUUAACAAAUAUCCACCCCUACUUAGCAUUUAGCAGUCAACGUUAUUUUGAGAAAAUAAUUGUUGUAAAAUUUUAGUUUCGAGACAAUAAGUCGUCCAUGUGCGUUUAUCAAUUGGGAAUCGGAAUUAAAAUAAGUUUUUUAUUUAACUUUUAGAAUUAGAGUUGGAAUAGGCUGUAUCCUCAUCAUUGGUAUGUCUACUUUGUCAAGGAUCAGAAUGAAUCAUUGCAAGUUAAUUACCAAAAUGUCUUUAGUUAAUUAUUAUCCUCAGUAUUAUUUCUAUUAUAACAGUAACAAUAACAAUGAUUAAAAAAAAUAGUAAUAACAACAACAAUAACAAUAAUAAUAUCUUAACCGGCACAUAGGCUUUAGAUAAAACAAUUGUUUAAUGUUUUGUAGACAAACAACUAGUUGUACCUAAGAGAAAGAAGUAGAUGACAUGUCUUCCGAUACUUUCAUAUAACUGACAUGUGUAAAUAAUAUGUGCCGGUGCAUAUGCUAGCUGACAUGUGGUUUAUUUUUUAAAAUGUAACCGACAUGUCAUAUAUUUCAUAUAUAAGACAAAGACAUGAUGUCUGUUUAUUUUCUUGACAAACAACACCUCAUCUUUAAUGUUGAAUUCCAAACGAUUUUAUUAAAAGUAAGAGAUUGUUUGUUUUUCAAUAGUUGCUUGAAUAAUAAUCCUUACAAUUGUAAUUGUAAAAAAAAGAAUAAAAAAAUAUGAGUGAUCACAACCUUUAAGUUCUAAUUUUGAGUCCCAACUACUAUGGGUCACUCAUCUAAUAGAUCAUGAAUUUCAUAAUUUAUAAAUUACAUAUUUAUCAUCUAAUAGAUAUGUUACUCAAUUUUAAGGUAACUAUAAUAAGAAUUCCAAUUACAACUGUGACUAUUGAUUACAAUUAAAGUUGUAAUUACGAUUAUGUAUAAUUUUUUAUUAAAAUUAUAUAAAAUAUGCUAUUUUAAUUAGUUAACUGGUAAGUACUAAACCCAAAUAACCAUUUAAUAGAUUUUCAUAUUCAAAUUUAUUGAUUUCUUAAAUUAAAAAAAGAAAACUACAUAAUUGAAACGACCCGCCCCGCAACCUCCCCCAGGGCGAGUCUAUCUAAACUCGUAAAAUCGAAUUAAUAACAAAUCUAUAAAAAUUUCGGCAGAGUCUCCCUUAUAAAUAAAACAUAUCCAACCCUGCAAUUGACAAAAUAACACUCCCGAAAUAAUUUAAUAACCAAACAUCCUCCAUAACCAACUUCUCAAACCAACUUCUCAAAUAUCACCAAAAUCAUCCGAAUAUUAAAAUACAACGAUUAUCCUUAAUAACAUAAAAUAAUAACACAAAUUUCGAAUAUAAUAAUAAAAUCCACGACUUCUAGCACCAUCACGUGACCACAAUAUCAAACUAACGUUCACUACUGGGUUGACUGAUGUACCUGUAAAUCUCCUGUGGGGGGAAAAAUAUAAUAAAAGAGGGGUGAGUAUAAAACUCAGUGAGCUCAGUGAGUGGAUAGUAGGUGCUGAUACUUUAAUAAAUUAUUCAAAAUCAUUUAAUCUUUCUCAAAUCUUUUCUUAAAUCAAUUUCAAUUUCGUAAAUCAAUUCUCAAAUCAAUUUCUCAAAAUAUCAUAAACUCAUUUAAUUCAAAUUGAAUAACUGCAAUAAUAAAUCUGCAUAAAAUCGAUGGAAUCACCAUACUCAUAUUAAAUACUGAAUACUAAAAACUGUCAUCAAACAAGUACCCAGGGGAUAAUCUGAUCAUAUCCGGGCUACAACGGCCAGGCAAUAACGCACUAUCUGGGUAACGUCACGCCCCGGAGCCACAACGGAUAGAUGGGGACGAUCUCAUCUCAUAUCUCAUAUCUCUUAUCUCAUAUAUCUGUACUGUGCAUGCAUAAGCCCCCAAAAGGCAAAAGCGCCCGAACACACGGCCCAAAGCCUCUAUGUGUGUCCCGACGGGCCCCAAAGGCCUCUAUCUCAUCUUAUCUGUAUCUCUUAUCUGUAUCUCUUUUUAUCUGUAUCUCUGUAUCUGGAGGGAAGGGUACUGUCUAAUGAUUUCAAAACUGAUAGUAAACAUAUGAUCCCAUCUGAAAUCUCAUUUUCUUUCUAUUCAACAUAUCUCAAGUCUGCUCAAUUCUAAUAUCAUGCUUUUACUCAAAAACGCUAAUAAAAUCAUAAAUCGAACUCAUUCUCAAUCAUAAUAAAUAUCAACACAUAAAUAAAAGUCAAUUCGCUGGAAAAUCAUUAAAUCAACGCAUUAAACAUUUAUUUCUCAAACAUACUGUACUAUAUAAGAAAAUCAGCAUAUACUAUGAAAAUAGGUUUUGUAUAUUCCACUCACAGUGAUGAUGUCUAGACUCAGUAUCAACAACGUCCGCGGGUAGAUUCUCGUUCGCGGAUGCGGAUCCUCCUAAUCACGGAAAACACCAUAAUUAUUCUCCGUAAAAACCAAUUAAUAUAAUAAAUCUCGAAACAAAUAUCUAUUAACGAUAAACUAGUCCCGCAUGUAUAAAAUUACCAAAAUGCCCCUAUAGGCCAAAAUUACCAAAAUACCCCAACAUCAAUAUUUUACCAACUUAUCCUCAAACUUCAUGAUUUUACCAAAUUAUCCUCAUAUUCGUUAAUACCCAUAUUGUCCUCAAUUCAGAUUACAUAAAUUAAUCACAUUGUCGGAAAUUACAAAAUUACCCUCAGGGCAUAAAAUUACCGAAAUGUCCACUGAUUACAUAAAAUUACAAAUUCACCCCAAAGUUUCAUGAAUUUACCGAAUUGCCCCUGCCGGUCAACGGUGACCGGACUUCAGUCAACGAUGACGGGGAGCUUAGGUCUGCUAGUUCCGGCCUCGAUGAAUCCAACGGUGGUGGCAGUGAGUCGCCACGCGCGCUACCGGCGGCGGAUCGAAGUUCCAAAGUUCCGCAAAUUUUCGGAGAUCAUUCGGCGAGUUCCGGGCGUCCCCGGCGGUCGUUGCUGGUCGGGAAAUGUUGCUGGGGAUGUGAGGAACCAGUUCCAAGUGGUGGCGCGUCACAACUCCGGCGGGAUCAACGGCAACGAAAACGGGUCGAAGCCGCGACUUUUCGAGCUCGAUCACCGGCGUUCUGGCCAGUUUCCGGCGACGAUAACAGCAGGGAUACGAUGGUCUGCUUCCAAGCUUCAGAUCGGUACCAAGCACGGCCGGUAAAGUGGCUGGAGUUGGGAGAAAUCGUCGGGUCAAUCCGCGGGUUACUGGGUCGGGUUCUCGGGUCAACGGGUCUGACUUCUCUCUCUAUCUUUCUCUCUCUUCUCGGGUUCUUUCUCUCUAAAAUGGAAAACCCGUUUCCCUCUUUCCAGUUAUACAAUUCUGCCCCUCUUUUUUUUUUUUUUUUUUUUUUUUUAAGCUUAAUACAAAUUAAGCGAAUUUCAGACCCGUUACGAAAAUAAAAUCCGACCAUCGGCGCGUAUAAUCGAGCUCAAUUUAUCCCAAUUAAACUAUAGUGACGAAAUUAAAAAUUAAUAGAGAAGAGGAAAAUAAAAAUCAGCACUUUAUUAAGAAAGUCCAAGUGCGUAUAUUACAAUAAUAUCAUAUGAAACAGAAAUCAAUGAUUGCCUUCUAUCUAUAAUGUUCUUCAAUUACAAAUGAACAACAUUAAUUCAUUAAUCUUGCAUUUAGUCAUAAUCAAAUGGGAAUUAGAUUGAUGGGUGGGGCACACUUGAGCUAUUUGAAUUUCUUCUGCACUAUUUCAUUUAAAAACAUGUAUUUAUAAGCAAUAUUUUAAAAUUUUAAAAUCUUAAAAUUAACUCAAUUAUGUCAUUCUCUAAUUUACGGUUGCAUUUUCUCCCUCAAAAUUGUCAGAUCCUACAAACUAAAUUUUCACUUUCACUCAAUGUUGGACAUUGAUUCUUAAUCUUUUUUAGUAAAUCAUAAUUACAUCUUCAGUUUGUUCCAAGGUUUUUAGUAAAUCUAAUUAUAUAUUACUUUUUCAUUUCAAAGAUAUCGAAGUAAAAAAAAUAAAAAAAAGAUAUCAAGGCAAAAAUAUUUUUUUAUGGUAAAAACACUUGAAACUUUCAAUUUGUGAUGGCCUAUGUAGAAUAUGUGGAUCUGGAUUUGCCCAUUUAUGAGAGACAAGCAUUAACAUUCGCUUGUAGGGGUGGCAAAACGAAAAAUCGAAUCGAAUCGAAUUUUAAACGAAUUGGGUCAAAAUUUUGUGGAUUCGGAUUUGAUUUGUUUAUUAAACGAAUUAAAAUCUCAGGAUUCAAAUUAGAUUCGUUUAUUAAACGAUUAUUUAGUUUAAUUCGUUUAAUAGAUUAAUAAAAGAAUUGAAUCAAAUUCAAAUUCAUUUAUUAUUAAUUUAUCCUAAUAAUAAAUGAAUCCAUAACUAAUCGAAUUGAAUAUGAAUUCGUUUACAAAAAUUAAAUAAAUAAUCCAAACCAUAAAAGUUUUCAUCUUAUUUAUAUAUUGUGUUAUUAUUAUUUAUAAUUACUAGAUUAACCUUCAAAUUUUAAAUUUUUUUUAUAAAUAUUUAAGAAUAAAUAAGUAAUUUAAUUAAACGAAUAAAUUGUAUUCGGUUCGUUUAUAACCCAUUUAUUAAAUGAAUACUAAACGAAUAAACGAAUCAAUGUCUUCAAACCUGAAUUCAAUUCGUUUAAUUAACGAAUCGAACUGAAUUCACCAAUUUAUAAACGAAUCAAAAUUUUCAAACCCAAACGCGUUUAAUUCGCUUCAAAUUGAAUCGAAUAAACGAAUCUUGGUCCAAAUUGCCGCCCCUAGUCGCUUGCAAGAGAACAUUGAAAGAAAAUAUGUUGAGUGGUGAGAAUAUGAUGAAUUGGAAACCGAAAAUAAAGGUUGAUUAGAUAAUUUCAUUUAAAAAAUUCGAUAUCUUUGAGGAUCAGUUUGUUGUGAAUUGGAUGAGAUUAAUAUUCAAGAUUAUGAAUGGAGAAGAUGAUACAAUUUAUCCUUUUAAACAUGCCAUUAGAAAAUUAGUUUUUUUUUUAAAAAUAAAUAAAGUGUAUUUUUUCAUUUUAUUUGGAAGUUUAAAUGAUUGUAGGGUUUUCCAUAUUUUUGCUUUGCUGCUUUUGUGUGAAUACCAUGUAACUCUAUGAGCAACAUUGUUUUAAGGUAGCAUGCUGUAUUUGAUGAGUAUAUCUUGCUAGCUAGUGGUUAUCAGUUCUUUCUGUUAUCUGUUGUUAAGCUUUCACACUAUUUUGUCGGUUGUACAUUCUCAUUUGCAUUUUUGUUUCUUUCUGUGAGUAGUGCACUACAUCUGAUGUGCUAAUGGUCUUUCAACUUGCUUUUGAUUCAAUAAUGGAAGCUUUGGCAUUUAAAUUUCCAUAGUUUCCAUUAGAUUCAGGGGAGCCAUGUCAGAGUUUUGUAAGAGGAGAAAUCUUUAGAUGGCUUUGUGUCAAAAUUUACUUUUAAGGAAUUCUCAUGUUCAUUUAUUCCCAACAUUUUAUGUCCUUCGUCCGUUUGUGUUCAGAGAAAACGUUGAAGGCCUUAAAGGAGAAGGCAAAAGAGCCAGAGGCACCAGAGCCGGAGCCAGAACCUACCACUGAAGUUCUAUUUCUAUGCAGCUAUGAAGGCUGUGGGAAGACAUUUAUUGAUGCUGCCUCUUUGAGAAAGCAUGCUCACAGUCAUGGAGAGAGACAAUAUCAGUGUCACUGGAAAGGUAAGACAUGACGUAUUUAAUGUAGUUUUUAAUAUUUCAUUCAUGAUUUCUUUAGACUGCUUAAAAUCAUGAGAUUCAUCAUACUUCUUGAGGUUUAAAAUAUGAUAAUAGUUUAAAAAAGAAAAGGAAACUAUUAUAUGUAUGCGUAGAGACAAGCUGUUGUGUCUGAUCUUGGACAUACUAUCCAACAUGGCCUCUCUAAAAAUUGUGGGAUGUUGGAUUAAACAAAGUGAGGAAUUUGGGUUUGUGGCCGAGGCCGGGAGUGUUUCUGAGUUGUAAAAAUUUGGGGAACUUCAUGUGUAUGAAAGCAAUUUGCAUCGAUGAUUUGAGUGGGGAAGCAAAGGUACUAUUGAGAAUCAGGUGCUAUCACCAAACAUUUUUUCUUUUGGUGGGUCUUUUUGUGCGGCUAGUUCAAACCCUCUGGUUAAAUAAGAUCUGUCAGUCUGGUUUGGGACUGAAGGUGGUCCAGCCUUGUUCAUGUACAGUCUUUUGUAAACAAUCCUCAAAUUGUUUUCUUGGUAUAUUUAUGUUAUGUUAAAGGCUAAGCCUCAUCACUUUUUUUAUUUCUCUUUUUCUUGAAUUUUUUUUUUAAUUGAUGUCGUUCUUUCAGGCAUAUAAAAAAUGGUUUUUGAAGUAAUUUUGUACUUUUUGAUGCAGAAAUUUUUGGAUAGUUCGAAGUUAAAAGACACUUUCUUAUUCAUACUGGAGAAAGAGAUUACGUAUGUCCUCAUGAAGGCUGUGGUAAGGUGAAGAAUCUAUCCAUCCUAAAGCAUUUUGUCAAAACUUUGCCGAGGCUACCUUAUCUUUUUCUUUUUUCUUAUUGCUGACAUUAUCAUAAGAUAUGAGAAAUAUUAUACAUUUGUUUUCUGCCUGAAACAUUUCUAUUUGAUGAUUGAUUCCAUUGUCUUAUGGUCCCUUGCCCACAAUUUUAAAAUUUUAGGUCAUUUGGUAAAUAAUAUUAAUACCUUGGAUGUUUAAUAAUAUUUUGAAAAGAGAAGUACAGUUUGUUGUACCCUGUGAUUGCUGAGGACAUCAUGGGUUUUAGUAAGCAAGAUUCUGUGAGACGCUUUGAUUGCCAUACAAUAUUAAGUGUCAUGUAUCCAAUCCAGGGGGACCCAAUGAUGUUGAAGUCUCAGGCUGGCACGUGGAGGAUCAUGGAGUUCAGUCUUGAGAAUUGCCACUAUGCAAAAGCCACUUAGGGGUAUUAGUGUAUUUGGAAUCCCCCUAUAACCUUGUUUUAUUUGGACCGACUCUCUGUGAAGACCUCUCCCAUUAUUAUUGAGAAUGAAUGUUCGGUACUUAAUAUCAGGGUUGGUUGUAUUGUAACUUGGAUGGAUCAAAUAUGAGAGACUCAUGUUUUUUCAUCAUCUUGUAAAGGGCAUAGUGCUAAUCUUACCUUGAGGUUGCCGUUUUGGCUUAAGAUGUUACUUUAUUGUACAUUUCUGUAUGUACACGCACUUGUACUUGUACCCAGCAUUUGUGGUGUUCCUAAUUACAAAUAUGAAAUAUGCAGGCGUUCUCUUUGGACUUCAACCUGAGAUCACACAUGAAAACACAUUCACAAGAAAAUUAUCACAUCUGCCCAUACCCAGAUUGUGGAAAGAGAUAUGCUCAUGAGUACAAGUUAAAGAAUCAUAUUGCAUCUCACCACGAAAAGGUUGGUGCUAUUUCCUUGCUGUUACUAUUUUGCAGUACCAACGCCUUUUUAGUAUUUUUCUUUGCUAUUUUAGAUAUUUUUCCUGCUUUUUUUGUUGCAUUUUAAGUUAAUUCCUUUCAUAGAACAUAUCUUAUAUAGUUUAUGACGUGUAAAGCAACAUGACUUCGGUUUCAUCUCAGAUUAUAUUAGUCAUCUGUCAAAAGGAAUUUUACUUAUUUCUUUUCUAAAGAUAUCCUUCAAGUCUGUUAACAAUGGCAACAUAUGAAUGUUUGUGUUCUAGUGGAAUUGUAUUCAUUUCACCUUUAGUAUGGUCAUAGUACAAAUGGUUAUUAUUAUCACUGAAAGAUGUAGUACAGAAACCAUCUGCUAUUUUUCUUAAAACUCUUAAGAUCAUCCCAUGUGUCGCUGGUUGACUUCACUGUAGAUCUAGAAUGGUUAUCAUAAUUAUGUUCUUUUUAUUUUUUUAAUUUUAUUUGAUAUACAUAGGACAUCAAAAUACCAUUCUGCCAACAUGAAUUUCAGAAAUUGAUUGCCAUGAAGCAAAGAUCGUCUGUAUAUAUUUUUUCUCUCAAAACUCGUAUAUCAUAUCUGAUUCUUAGUUUCGAGAUUUGAUUUCUCAGAAUGCUGCAGUGGAGGUGCCCAGAUACGCUACUCCUCCCGAGAGGAUAACAAAAACUCCCAAGCCACCUGCUGGGGUUUAUGGUUCUGCAUCAUCUGAACGUCCUUAUGCAUGUCCUUAUGAAGGGUGUGAAAAGGCAUAUAUCCAUGAAUACAAGCUUAAACUCCAUCUGAAGCGGGAGCAUCCUGGCCAUAUGUCUGAUGAAAAUGCCGAGAAUGCCACAACUAAUGCUAAUAAUGAGAUGGAUGAAGGCAGUGACCAAGAUGCCUAUGCUGGAAAACGUGUUAAUGGUAAAAGUCAAAAACAAAGCCGGGCGAAGCCAAACUUGAAGAUGCCUCCUGCAAAAGUAACGCAACGCAAAAGCUCAACUCCAUCUCCUGCCACCUUGAAUGUAGUGAGAAAGCAACAAUGGACUCCUAAAGAAGAAGUUUACGAGGAAGAAGAUAGUGAAGAAACUGAGGAAGAUCGUGACAAUGUUGAGGAUGGAUUUAGGUACGGGGAAAAUAAUGAAGAUGAUGAUGAGGAGACUGAGUACGAAGACUGAAGCAUAUAAAAAUGUUUCCUUCACCCUUCUGAUAAGGGCACCUUGUAUGUAUCUAACCCUUACAAACAGGUUCUCUGUCAUCUUUUAUCUGCUUGCUUUCAGCAUCUUUUUUUCUCUCAUUGCAGCAUAUAAAUAAAGUUAAAAAUUUUUAAUUUUAAAAUAUUGGUGAUUCGCUAAAGAAUUUCA
This 35534-nucleotide long non-coding RNA is filed under the name Citrus x clementina. RNAcentral describes it as "Citrus clementina (C. clementina) long non-coding RNA (CCLE_LNC002387)". The record is from RNAcentral. Lineage: Eukaryota; Viridiplantae; Streptophyta; Magnoliopsida; Sapindales; Rutaceae.